This 203-nucleotide long non-coding RNA is filed under the name Mytilus galloprovincialis (Mediterranean mussel). The record is from RNAcentral. Lineage: Eukaryota; Metazoa; Mollusca; Bivalvia; Mytilida; Mytilidae.
GCUAUCGGUUCUGGUCAAUUGUGUAUUCUGUGUCCAAAACGGACGUUGAUUAGAGAAGCUAAAAAUUGGCCGUCGAUUAAAGAAGCCAAAAAAUGGACGUCGAUUUGAUAAACAUAAAAUUGGCCGUCCAUUUGGAAGGAUAUUUUAUUGUGACUUCAGAUUUGGACGUCGAUUUGAGGAACGGACGUCGAUUAGAGACCGGA